RNAcentral lists this ribosomal RNA (393 nucleotides) under uncultured bacterium. RNAcentral describes it as "bacterial SSU rRNA". It matches the Rfam family "Bacterial small subunit ribosomal RNA", at positions 371 to 777 of the family's 1533-position model. The record is from RNAcentral.
AUGGGCGAAAGCCAUGACGGAGCAAUACCGCGUGAGGGAAGACGGCCUAUGGGUUGUAAACCUCUUUUUUCAGGGAGGAAUCAAUGACGUGUACCUGAAGAAUAAGCAUCGGCUAACUCCGUGCCAGCAGCCGCGGUAAGACGGAGGAUGCAAGUGUUAUCCGGAAUCACUGGGCGUAAAGCGUCUGUAGGUGGUUUAAUAAGUCAACUGUUAAAUCUUGAGGCUCAACCUCAAAAUCGCAGUCGAAACUAUUAGACUAGAGUAUAGUAGAGGUAAAGGGAAUUUCCAGUGGAGCGGUGAAAUGCGUAGAUAUUGGAAAGAACACCGAUGGCGAAAGCACUUUACUGGGCUAUUACUAACACUCAGAGACGAAAGCUAGGGUAGCAAAUGGGA